UAUUCUCAACCCUGCUACAUUUUUUUUUUAAAAGUGCAGCUUGGCUUGGACUUGGAGGUUUUAUUGCUGGCAUACAAGCUUUUGUUUGAACGCGGGCUCCUCUGAAAUGCAUUAGCUGGAAUGUUACCGAGCAUGAUUCAAUGUGAUAAUUGUCUACGUUGCUUCAACUUGGUAUUAAUUCUGUUUCAGCUUCGAACCGUCCUUCACCGGACAAUACUUUGUAAC
RNAcentral lists this unclassified non-coding RNA (225 nucleotides) under Antrodiella hoehnelii. RNAcentral describes it as "partial internal transcribed spacer 2". Lineage: Eukaryota; Fungi; Basidiomycota; Agaricomycetes; Polyporales; Steccherinaceae. The record is from RNAcentral.